AAAGAAAAUCAGCCCUCGCACAACCCUGCCUCCCAAUCCCCGUCUCCACCUCCUGCCUCGCGCGCCGCCGUGCGCCGCCACCGCCCACCACGCCGGCACGUUUACCCCUGCACGACCGGCUACACGCCGACGACGCUCGAGCUUGCAGGGGCUGGGGGCAGAUCCGGAGGCGAGGGUCGGAGGUGACGACGAGGAAGGCCUGAGCACAGGCGGAUCCAUGGCAUCCGCGGCUCCUAGGCACAAAGGGGACGGUGAGGCGGGGGAGAGAAGAAGGAAAAAAGGAGGGGUUGUGCGGCGACCUAGCGAGGAGCUCGCCGGAGCUGGGCGAAGGCGGACUGGCGCGGGAGACGGAGGGGUCCGGCGCGGCGGCGCGAAGUCCUUGCAGGUGGAGGCAGGCGUCGAAGCAGAGGACGAGAGGAUCCCCGGCCUAAUUCUGGCGUGCACUCAGCUUCCCCGAUCCAUCCCCUCCUACCCAUCCGGCCCUUCCUCGAUGGCCCGCAUGCGACGAACCCCUACGCGGGGUAAGAAGGGGGAUCACGCGAGGUGGAGCACUCCAGCCCCCUCCUAGCCCUACCACGGUGAGGCCUCCUUUCCCUCUCUCCCUGCCUGAGCCAUAAGCUGGCGGCGCUGAGGUCGAUCUGCUCAUGCACACACGGUUGCUGUGACAUGGUGACAGCCACGCCCCACUUUUUCUUCCAGUUCCUUGUUUUUGUGGUGGAUGCAUCCAUGAUUAUUUGUUUCAACUAUUGAUUUUCAGUUUAGUAAAUCAAACCCAUUCCGAUGCUGCUCUUUUACUUGUACAAAUAAACUAUUGUUCGCUAAACUGAGCAGCUAGCUACUGGUGUCUCAAAGAUUAAGGGCAGGUUGGUACUUAUGGUCAGGCCUGCCUCAAGUAGAGGAAGAAGAGGAGGCCUGAAAGAGAGAGGCCGCAAGGUAGAAGCCUUUUGAUUAGGAGGCAGUCCAGCAAGUUGGACGAACUGCUGAUAAAGAGAUAAUUCUAUUCUAAAUUUUUGUCUGAUAAGCAGGAUUGGAUCACGGAUGUAUGUUGGCUAUGUCUCUCACGGUGUGUGGAACCAGUUAUUGGUUAGUUUCAUCUUGUUUGUUGACAUUGAUGGUGUUGUCCAUUGGUUUAACAGAAAUGUUUUGAAGCUAAAGAUGAAGAGGAACUCGUGGAAGAGGAAAAGAAAUGACAUGGUAGAAAUUCAUUCACACAUAUCAGGGUCAUAGUGAGAGGAUUGAUCUGCUUGAUUCGCUCCUGAUGGUCGGUGGAUUGUUUCUGGUAGGGCUAAGAGUUCUGUGAAGGUGGAAAGCUCUUGCAUGACUUCAGCUUCCUGAAGGUCCGCUUAAACUGUUCAGGUUUUCUUCCCCAUGAGUUUUUACUAGCCACAUGUCAGAUGGUGAUAGUAUGUUAUACAACCUGUACAAAAACAUAAGAUGUGUUCCCAGAUAACAUCUUUCCUCCAAAAUAAUCUAUAUAUCAUCUAGACUUGGUUAGUUGUAACUUUUGCUUUCUGUUCUUUCCACAAGCGUCUGUAGGUUCAAAUGAUAAUUGUUAAAUUUGGUACCUUAAGACUUUUUUUAGGGUGACCUUAAGACUUUUUAGUUGAUUGCAUCCUCUAGACCAGGAGGUAUAAUAGCAUCUCCUAAUUGUCUAAUUGAUGAUUCAGAAAGCUCUGGCUCUACUCAUGUAUAUCAAUUUAUAUUCAGAUUGUGAAGUACUCCUUCUAUAAAGAAAUAUAAGAGCGUUUAGUUCUAUAAAACAUAUUUAUAUGCAGUUAUCCAACAAAUUUAUGUCCUAAAAUCUUACAACUUCUCUUAAGCUGUAUUUGAUCAUAACCUUGGCUUAAAUGCAAUUUAAUUUCAACCUCAAAUUUGGUGAUUUUUUGAAUGGGCACAACUGUGUCGGUAGAGGUUGACAGUUAUGAAUUUUGUGAUAAUCUUCGGUUAUGCUGUUAUAUAUAGCACUUUCCUGGUUAUAUGGUUCACAUUCUCUGAGCCAAUUCACAAUGACCAUUCCAGAUUUGGGCCUUGCGUUUUAAAAUUAUUUUGUAACAUUUUGGUUGAUCUUUGAUGCUGCUCCUUAAUUUUUUUACAUUGACUGGUGUAGAACUAAAUGAGUGUUUGCCAUUCAAGGGAAGCCCCAAGCUUUAAAACCGUAUAUGAAUGUUGUUAGCUUGGUCCUUCACAAAUAAGUCCCUUGUUGUGUGUCAUCUGUCAUUGCGUAUAUCAUCUGGUCUUUCUAUUUUUCAUUGAUUUUUCUUCUCCUGGUGCACUGAAUCUGCAAGGGCGUGUAGACGGCAGGAUGAGCAGCAGCAUACCGGUGGUAAGACAGGGCGUGUUGGCGUACGCGAAGCAGCCAUGCAUGAACCUUGGCGGCGGAUGUUUGCUGGCCGUAGUGGCAGCAUCAAUUCAAGCUGGAAGGCGGGAAGCUGGCGUAGCAGGAACAACUGGUCGUCCAUUAGGCAUCAACCCAACUCCAUUGUACUCCCUUUUCUUUCCAUAACCAAUUCCUUGGAGCAGACAUGUGGGUACAGUUACGUAGCCUGAAGAUUGUUUGCUUUUUUUGGUUAGUUCAGAUUUAGAUUUCUUAGUUUUUGACUAUUUGAUCAAUCGAUCCAUGUAGAUCACAUUGACAUGGUUUGUCGAAUGUACCUUUCAGCAUUUACCCUGAUUAGUUAAAUGCCUAGCUGGUGAUAAGAGGAAGAGGAUGAUCAGGAAAGCAUGGCGUUGAGCGAAUCAGUACAGGAAGAAAGCCCCUCCAGAAAAAAAUAGUAGAGGAAGAAAGAGAGGAGCAGCAGUCAAGAUUGGGCUUGGUGGCCUCAACGCCUAUGACCUCCUCUAUGCCAAGCCUCGCAUCACCUGGUUAUUAUGUUAUCUGCUUCCAUGGAUUUACUGGCGUAUAGAAAUAUGAUUAUCUGAUGUAUGACUUAGGUGAGUUUCCUCUUUAUGUAACAAGGCUCUCUUUUAAAGUUGUUCGCUGUCCUCAUUCCUCGUGAUCUCUGAAUCAGUAUUUAGUUGAUAACUGUGGCAACAAAGGAUCGUUUGCAAACAAGGUUCUCACCCCUUAUAUUUAUUUUGGCAUGGAAAAGC
This 3090-nucleotide ribosomal RNA is filed under the name Triticum aestivum (bread wheat). Its description in RNAcentral is "partial small subunit ribosomal RNA". Lineage: Eukaryota; Viridiplantae; Streptophyta; Magnoliopsida; Poales; Poaceae. The record is from RNAcentral.